RNAcentral lists this ribosomal RNA (460 nucleotides) under uncultured bacterium. RNAcentral's name for it is "partial 16S ribosomal RNA". It matches the Rfam family "Bacterial small subunit ribosomal RNA", at positions 338 to 795 of the family's 1533-position model. The record is from RNAcentral.
CCUACGGGAGGCAGCAGUGAGGAAUAUUGGUCAAUGGACGCAAGUCUGAACCAGCCAUGCCGCGUGCAGGAAGACGGCUCGAUGAGUUGUAAACUGCUUUUGUACGAGGGUAAACGCAGAUACGUGUAUCUGUCUGAAAGUAACGUACGAAUAAGGAUAGGCUAACUCCGUGCCAGCAGCCGCGGUAAUACGGAGGAUUCAAGCGUUAUCCGGAUUUAUUGGGUUUAAAGGGUGCGUAGGCGGUCGGAUAAGUUAGAGGUGAAAUCCCGAGGCUCAACUUCGGAAUUGCAUCUGAGACUGUUCGGCUAGCGAGUAGUUGCGGUAGGCGGAAUGUAUGGUGUAGCUGUGAAAUGCUUAGAGAUCAUACAGAACACCGAUUGCGAAGGCAGCUUACCAAGCUACUUCUGACGUUGAGGCACGAAAGCGUGGGGAGCAAACAGGAUUAGAUACCCCGGUAGUC